Drosophila albomicans is the source of this 358-nucleotide long non-coding RNA. RefSeq lists it as uncharacterized. The record is from RefSeq and is a predicted model, not a curated record. The transcript is spliced from 3 exons. NCBI's taxonomy places the organism in Eukaryota, Metazoa, Arthropoda, Insecta, Diptera, Drosophilidae.
CAUUCAAAAGUGGAAUACAAUUUUAUGCUUAAUAACGAACAAUUUAAACUAUGCAAGUGAAUGAACAAUCAAGCCUUAAAAGUGAACAAAACAAUGCGAAUUUUCAACAUUCAAUUGAAAGCAGAUUAACAUAUCGCCAAGUUUCAGCUAAUGAAAAAAAGGAUUUUCAUACGGCAAAUUAAUCGAAAAAGCGAAAAGCAAACUGCAAAGAAAACAAUUGAAAUAUCAAAAUGAAAUGGUUAAAAUGGAUAAAAAUGAUUUUUAUGCGGCAAAUUAAUUGAAGAAGCUGUAAACUGAAAAAAUACGAUUCAAAUAUGAUAUAAGAAGGAAAUGUGUCAGACUAUUUUCUCUGGAGAUA